GAUGAAGAACGCAGCGAAAUGCGAUACGUAAUGUGAAUUGCAAAUUCAGUGAAUCAUCGAGUCUUUGAACGCACAUUGCGCCCCCUGGUAUUCCGGGGGGCAUGCCUGUCCGAGCGUCAUUGCUGCCCUCAAGCACGGCUUGUGUGUUGGGCCCCGUCCUCCGAUCCCGGGGGACGGGCCCGAAAGGCAGCGGCGGCACCGUGUCCGGUCCUCGAGCGUAUGGGGCUUUGUCACCCGCUCUGUAGGCCCGGCCGGCGCUUGCCGAUCAACCCAAAUUUUUUAUCCAGGUUGACCUCGGAUCAGGUAGGGAUACCCGCUGAACUUAAGCAUAUCAAUAAGCGGAGGA
Molecule: unclassified non-coding RNA, 346 nt
Filed under: soil metagenome
Description: partial contains 5.8S ribosomal RNA, internal transcribed spacer 2, and large subunit ribosomal RNA
Rfam family: 5.8S ribosomal RNA (bases 1-119)
Source: RNAcentral